This 647-nucleotide ribosomal RNA is filed under the name Microbacterium sp. RNAcentral's name for it is "bacterial SSU rRNA". It matches the Rfam family "Bacterial small subunit ribosomal RNA", at positions 817 to 1460 of the family's 1533-position model. Lineage: Bacteria; Bacillati; Actinomycetota; Actinomycetes; Micrococcales; Microbacteriaceae. The record is from RNAcentral.
UAGUUGUGGGGUCCAUUCCACGGAUUCCGUGACGCAGCUAACGCAUUAAGUUCCCCGCCUGGGGAGUACGGCCGCAAGGCUAAAACUCAAAGGAAUUGACGGGGACCCGCACAAGCGGCGGAGCAUGCGGAUUAAUUCGAUGCAACGCGAAGAACCUUACCAAGGCUUGACAUAUACGAGAACGGGCCAGAAAUGGUCAACUCUUUGGACACUCGUAAACAGGUGGUGCAUGGUUGUCGUCAGCUCGUGUCGUGAGAUGUUGGGUUAAGUCCCGCAACGAGCGCAACCCUCGUUCUAUGUUGCCAGCACGUAAUGGUGGGAACUCAUGGGAUACUGCCGGGGUCAACUCGGAGGAAGGUGGGGAUGACGUCAAAUCAUCAUGCCCCUUAUGUCUUGGGCUUCACGCAUGCUACAAUGGCCGGUACAAAGGGCUGCAAUACCGUGAGGUGGAGCGAAUCCCAAAAAGCCGGUCCCAGUUCGGAUUGAGGUCUGCAACUCGACCUCAUGAAGUCGGAGUCGCUAGUAAUCGCAGAUCAGCAACGCUGCGGUGAAUACGUUCCCGGGUCUUGUACACACCGCCCGUCAAGUCAUGAAAGUCGGUAACACCUGAAGCCGGUGGCCCAACCCUUGNGGAGGGAGCCGUCGAA